This 108-nucleotide transfer RNA is filed under the name Klebsiella michiganensis. RNAcentral's name for it is "tRNA-Tyr". It matches the Rfam family "tRNA". Rfam says of the family: Transfer RNA (tRNA) molecules are approximately 80 nucleotides in length. Their secondary structure includes four short double-helical elements and three loops (D, anti-codon, and T loops). Further hydrogen bonds mediate the characteristic L-shaped molecular structure. tRNAs have two regions of fundamental functional importance: the anti-codon, which is responsible for specific mRNA codon recognition, and the 3' end, to which the tRNAs corresponding amino acid is attached (by aminoacyl-tRNA synthetases). tRNAs cope with the degeneracy of the genetic code in two manners: having more than one tRNA (with a specific anti-codon) for a particular amino acid; and 'wobble' base-pairing, i.e. permitting non-standard base-pairing at the 3rd anti-codon position. Lineage: Bacteria; Pseudomonadati; Pseudomonadota; Gammaproteobacteria; Enterobacterales; Enterobacteriaceae. The record is from RNAcentral.
GGUGGGGUUCCCGAGCGGCCAAAGGGAGCAGACUGUAAAUCUGCCGUCAUCGACUUCGAAGGUUCGAAUCCUUCGACUUCGAAGGUUCGAAUCCUUCCCCCACCACCA